This 417-nucleotide ribosomal RNA is filed under the name uncultured bacterium. RNAcentral describes it as "bacterial SSU rRNA". It matches the Rfam family "Bacterial small subunit ribosomal RNA", at positions 355 to 786 of the family's 1533-position model. The record is from RNAcentral.
UGGGGAAUAUUGGGCAAUGGGCGAAAGCCUUACCCAGCAACGCCGCGUGAGGGAAGAAGGUUUUCGGAUUGUAAACCUCUGUCCUGGGGGACGAAGGAAGUGACGGUACCCCGGGAGGAAGCCCCGGCUAACUACGUGCCAGCAGCCGCGGUAAUACGUAGGGGGCGAGCGUUGUCCGGAAUUAUUGGGCGUAAAGGGCGCGUAGACGGCCGAGUAAGUUAUAGGUGAAAGCCCAUCUUUCAAGGAUGGAAUUGCCUGUAAUACUGCCUGGCUUGAGUGCAGGAGAGGGAAGCGGAAUUCCUAGUGUAGCGGUGAAAUGCGUAGAUAUUAGGAGGAACACCAGUGGCGAAGGCGGCUUUCUGGACUGCAACUGACGUUGGGGCGCGAAAGCGUGGGGAGCAAACAGGAUUAGAUACC